This 82-nucleotide transfer RNA is filed under the name Ixodes scapularis (black-legged tick). It matches the Rfam family "tRNA". From Rfam's summary of the family: Transfer RNA (tRNA) molecules are approximately 80 nucleotides in length. Their secondary structure includes four short double-helical elements and three loops (D, anti-codon, and T loops). Lineage: Eukaryota; Metazoa; Arthropoda; Arachnida; Ixodida; Ixodidae. The record is from Rfam by way of RNAcentral.
GCAGUCGUGGCCGAGUGGUUAAGGUGAUGGACUAGAAAUCCAUUGAGGUCUCCCUGCACCGGUUCGAAUCCUGUCGACUGCG